UGAGGUGGGGAGCCAGGCUGGCAGCCACCCUAAGUGUUGAUGGGAGGAAGGGGUGGAGGGGGGCUCUGGAGCUGCAGGGGGAGUGUGGUCUUGGCUCAGCAAUGCCUGGAAACACCCUGGCUGCCAGGCUGUCCAGGCAGGUAGGAAACCCCCCAAAUCAAUAGAAAAUUAUGAGUUCAAUGGAGCCCAUCUCAAAGCUGUCAGGACCUGGGAGGAAAGUGCAGUAACCAGGAAGGGAAAACGCUCUUAAUUCAGACUCUUUUUGGAAAGCAGGGCCCAGAGAGAGGCAUAUUUGGGUGCAGAGCAGAGUCACCUCUGAGUGAAGGGACUGGCUGGUGGUGGGGAGGAGGUCCUUCCCUUCGCUUCCCCCCCCAUGUUCUCUGUGCCAGGGUGGCUGCCACAGCUGCUGCAUGGAAGGUGCUGACAGCCGGAGAAGAAAGGAGGCUUGUUUUGUUCAAUUUACCAAACCACACAGUAGACUUUUUAAAAUUACAGUGUAAGAAAUAGCAGUAACUGCCUCUCUUUAUUUUCCCAUCAAGGGGCAGGCGGCAAAGCCCUUCCCACCUUGCUUGUCCUGAAUCCCUGCCCAGCACUGCCUUGGUUUUGGGGCAGCCUGGAGCUGGGGACGAGGCUGCUGUUAAUGCUGACGUGCAGAGUUGAGUUGGUUUGUCCUUACAGGGGACACAGAAUCAUUGAAUCGGUUUGUUUGGAAAAGACCUUUCAGAUCAUCAAGUCCAACCAUUAACCCAGCCCUGCCAAGGCCACCGCUCAACCAUGUCCCUCAGCACCACAUCUACAUGGCUUUUAUAUCCCCUCAGAGAUGGUGACUCCACCACUGCCCUGGGCAGCCUGUGCCAGGGCCUGACAACCCUUUCCAUGAAGAAAUUGUUCCUAAUAUCCAAUCUAAACCUCCUCUGGCACAACUUGAGGCCACUUCCUCUUGUUCUAUUGACUGUUCCUUGGGAGGGAUGAGGGGAGAGAGCCAGGGCAGCGGGAUCUCCAGGAUCUCCUGUGCAUCCUAUGAAGGGCCAGGGUGGCAGAAAGGACCAGCCCCUGGUGACACUGUAAGUAGUGAUGUUGCAGCUGGGGCUGGCUCAAGAUGUGGAUCAUUUGGUUAAUGAAGGGCUCAGGCCUCCUUGCCUUUUUAACCAGGUUUUUUAAAUGGGUAAUUUAUUCAGGAGCUGGAGCAGAGCGUGGGCUCCUCUCGCCUGCUCCCCAAGUGAGUGCCACAAUAUGUCACAGCAAUUAGCACCUGGUGGACAUGGUCACUGUCACCAGCCCCACAACAGGGCCUCAGCUGGUCCCCAGGCUCUGCAGCUGUGGAAACCACAGCAGUGGGUGGGGAACAUCCCUGAGCAUCCCCAGCUAACUAACCCUGGUUAGUUAGUGGUGUGGUUGGGUGCCAGGUUUGACGACCUGGGCCUGCUGCCACCCUGCAAUAACGCAGCUUUGGGGACCAGGUUCUUCCACUCACACCGAGAAUAGGAACUUUAAUUGUCUUUGUUUGCCUUGCAGAGAAGAAACCACCGUGUGAUGGAUGUGAGCAGCAGCCACCACCCAGCCCGUGGGAGCCUGUGCUCAUGCUCGUUGCAGCUGCUGGAGGGAGGAGCCCGUCCCGUGUCCCGCUGUGCGCUGACCUUCACUGCCACAAUCCUGACGGAGCUCCUGGUGCUGCCCAUCCCUUAGGACCUGGAGGUGAUGACCAUGUGGGGCUGAACCAUCUCCUCCAUCCCAGUCCAAACCUGCAUCCUGAGCUCCCGGCUGUGCCCCCCCACCUACAGGGACUGGUGCUGUUCUGGGCAAAACAAGAACCUCCUCACGUAGUGUUCGCACACGGCAACGGGUUUGACUUGGAUUCUGUCUGG
Apus apus (common swift) is the source of this 1865-nucleotide long non-coding RNA. RefSeq lists it as uncharacterized. The record is from RefSeq and is a predicted model, not a curated record. The transcript is spliced from 3 exons. Lineage: Eukaryota; Metazoa; Chordata; Aves; Apodiformes; Apodidae.